Long non-coding RNA from Columba livia (rock pigeon), 674 nucleotides. RefSeq lists it as uncharacterized. The transcript has 3 exons. Lineage: Eukaryota; Metazoa; Chordata; Aves; Columbiformes; Columbidae. The record is from RefSeq and is a predicted model, not a curated record.
GUUAAGCUUUCUAUCAGUAAAACCAAAAGGAGGAGUUUUGAUUCAGAGAUAAUCACCAUGUGCUGAUUAAUGGUAGUGGGUGCCUCUGCUAACAGAAACUUUCUCAGGAGAGGAUCUGCAGCUGAAGAUACAUAAGACUGUCCCUGUUCAAGGUUUUCUUUCUGCUUGAAAACCCCCAGCUUCAUUUUUCCCCUGCAGAAAUACUCCAGACUUGUUAAGUCCUUUCAGAUACAGAGAAGAGGAAACAAACCCUAUUAUUAUUUUCCAAGCUUGGAUUGUCAUGAAAAUGUGGAGAGAAAUGGACACUUUCAGGGCACAAUUCAUUUCCUUUCAAGGGCUAUGAAGUCUAAAAAGAUCCAAGAAUUCUACAAAUUUCACAAAGUGUAAAAGGAUGCAAGCUCAUGUGCAACAGGGAAUCACCACAGGGGCCAUGGUAAUGCAACAUCUCCAGCUUGCACCUAAACAUAUGUCCUGCAAGCAAGGGAUGUAAAUGCAAUAGAAACCUCUGUGUAUCACGUGUGAAGCUGAAACCCCAACCUGUUUUCUCAAUUCCAUAAAUAAAUGAUUCCAUCAUGAGGAAAAUAAAGUUUUCCUUUAUUUCUAAUUUAACCUCUUUUUGGCUUGAAGGUAGAAGACCUCAUCUGUUGUGCAGAUUUUCUGCUGUUGCACAUUGA